CCUACGGGGGGCAGCAGUGGGGAAUAUUGCACAAUGGGGGAAACCCUGAUGCAGCGACGCCGCGUGAGUGAAGAAGUAAUUCGUUACGUAAAGCUCUAUCAGCAGGGAAGAAAUACUGACCUUACGGUCAGCAGACGGUACCUGAGUAAGAAGCCCCGGCUAACUACGUGCCAGCAGCCGCGGUAAUACGUAGGGGGCUAGCGUUAUCCGGAAUUACUGGGCGUAAAGGGUGCGUAGGUGGUUUCUUAAGUCAGAGGUGAAAGGCUACGGCUCAACCGUAGUAAGCCUUUGAAACUGGGAAACUU
This 305-nucleotide ribosomal RNA is filed under the name uncultured bacterium. RNAcentral describes it as "bacterial SSU rRNA". It matches the Rfam family "Bacterial small subunit ribosomal RNA", at positions 338 to 643 of the family's 1533-position model. The record is from RNAcentral.